Molecule: ribosomal RNA, 327 nt
Filed under: Triticum aestivum (bread wheat)
Lineage: Eukaryota; Viridiplantae; Streptophyta; Magnoliopsida; Poales; Poaceae
Description: partial small subunit ribosomal RNA
Source: RNAcentral
AUGGUGGUUUUGCUCGCCUAUAAAUUCUUUUCACCUUCCCAUCUUCUCUUCACACACACACAGACACACUCACACUCACAAGGAGAAGAAGAGCACACAAGAAGAGGAAAGGACAACACGGAAAGAAGAGCCAUGGAGCACUCCUACAGCAGCAACAGCGGCAUCAGCAACUACGGCAGCACAAAGGAGAGGAGGCCUGCGCUGAAGAGGGGGCAGCUGAAGCGGCAGAUCGUGAGGACCAUCAGCAACCUCAUGUCGCCGAGGAACGACGGCGCGGGCGCGGGCAAAGGGGCGUCAGGCCGCACCAGCUUCGGCGCCUACAACUGA